RNAcentral lists this ribosomal RNA (434 nucleotides) under uncultured Enterobacteriaceae bacterium. RNAcentral's name for it is "bacterial SSU rRNA". It matches the Rfam family "Bacterial small subunit ribosomal RNA", at positions 355 to 774 of the family's 1533-position model. The record is from RNAcentral. Lineage: Bacteria; Pseudomonadati; Pseudomonadota; Gammaproteobacteria; Enterobacterales; Enterobacteriaceae.
UGGGGAAUAUUGCACAAUGGGCGCAAGCCUGAUGCAGCCAUGCCGCGUGUAUGAAGAAGGCCUUCGGGUUGUAAAGUACUUUCAGCGAGGAGGAAGGUGUUUGAGGUUUAAUAACCUUUAGCAAUUGACGUUACUCGCAGAAGAAGCACCGGCUAACUCCGUGCCAGCAGCCGCGGUAAAUACGGAGGGUGCAAGCGUUAAUCGGAAUUACCGGGCGUAAAGCGCACCGCAGGCGGUCUGUCAAGUCGGAUGUGAAAUCCCCGGGGCUCAACCUGGGAACUGCAUCCGAAACUGGCAGGCUAGAGUCUUGUAGAGGGGGUAGAAUUCCAGGUGUAGCGGUGAAAUGCGUAGAGAUCUGGAGGAAUACCGGUGGCGAAGGCGGCCCCCGCUGGACAAAGACUGACGCUCAGGUGCGAAAGCGUGGGGAGCAAACA